This 230-nucleotide unclassified non-coding RNA is filed under the name plant metagenome. Its description in RNAcentral is "partial contains small subunit ribosomal RNA, internal transcribed spacer 1, and 5.8S ribosomal RNA". The record is from RNAcentral.
GUCUCCGUAGGUGAACCUGCGGAGGGAUCAUUACAGAGUUCAUGCCCUACCGGGUAGAUCUCCCACCCUAUGUUAUUAUUACUUUGUUGCUUUGGCGGGCCGUUAGGCUCCGGCCCGACUACCGGCCCCGGCUGGUAAGCGCCCGCCAGAGGACCCAAAACCCUGAAUAUUAGUGUCGUCUGAGUACUAUAUAAUAGUUAAAACCUUCAACAACGGAUCUCUUGGUUCUG